Molecule: ribosomal RNA, 304 nt
Filed under: uncultured bacterium
Lineage: Bacteria
Description: partial 16S ribosomal RNA
Rfam family: Bacterial small subunit ribosomal RNA
Source: RNAcentral
CAGCAGCAGCCGCGGUAAUACGUAGGUGGCAAGCGUUGUCCGGAAUUAUUGGGCGUAAAGGGCUCGCAGGCGGUUUCUUAAGUCUGAUGUGAAAGCCCACGGCUCAACCGGGGAGGGUCAUUGGAAACUGGGAAACUUGAGUGCAGAAGAGGAGAGUGGAAUUCCACGUGUAGCGGUGAAAUGCGUAGAGAUGUGGAGGAACACCAGUGGCGAAGGCGACUCUCUGGUCUGUAACUGACGCUGAGGAGCGAAAGCGUGGGGAGCGAACAGGAUUAGAUACCCCAGUAGUCCCUGUCUCUUAUAC